GGCAUGGCGGCAGCUAACACAUGCAGUCGAACGGUAACAGGAAGCAGCUUGCUGCUUCGCUGACGAGUGGCGGACGGGUGAGUAAUGUCUGGGAAACUGCCUGAUGGAGGGGGAUAACUACUGGAAACGGUAGCUAAUACCGCAUAAUGUCGCAAGACCAAAGAGGGGGACCUUCGGGCCUCUUGCCAUCGGAUGUGCCCAGAUGGGAUUAGCUAGUAGGUGGGGUAACGGCUCACCUAGGCGACGAUCCCUAGCUGGUCUGAGAGGAUGACCAGCCACACUGGAACUGAGACACGGUCCAGACUCCUACGGGAGGCAGCAGUGGGGAAUAUUGCACAAUGGGCGCAAGCCUGAUGCAGCCAUGCCGCGUGUAUGAAGAAUGCCUUCGGGUUGU
This 394-nucleotide ribosomal RNA is filed under the name Escherichia coli. RNAcentral describes it as "bacterial SSU rRNA". It matches the Rfam family "Bacterial small subunit ribosomal RNA", at positions 37 to 426 of the family's 1533-position model. The record is from RNAcentral. Lineage: Bacteria; Pseudomonadati; Pseudomonadota; Gammaproteobacteria; Enterobacterales; Enterobacteriaceae.